GACGAACGCUGGCGGCGUGCCCAAUACAUGCAAGUUGAGCGCUGAAGGUUGGUACUUGUACCAACUGGAUGAGCAGCGAACGGGUGAGUAACGCGUGGGGAAUCUGCCUUUGAGCGGGGGACAACAUUUGGAAACGAAUGCUAAUACCGCAUAAAAACUUUAAACACAAGUUUUAAGUUUGAAAGAUGCAAUUGCAUCACUCAAAGAUGAUCCCGCGUUGUAUUAGCUAGUAGGUGAGGUAAAGGCUCACCAAGGCGAUGAUACAUAGCCGACCUGAGAGGGUGAUCGGCCACAUUGGGACUGAGACACGGCCCAAACUCCUACGGGAGGCAGCAGUAGGGAAUCUUCGGCAAUGGACGAAAGUCUGACCGAGCAACGCCGCGUGAGUGAAGAAGGUUUUCGGAUCGUAAAACUCUGUUGGUAGAGAAGAACGUUGGUGAGAGUGGAAAGCUCAUCAAGUGACGGUAACUACCCAGAAAGGGACGGCUAACUACGUG
This 497-nucleotide ribosomal RNA is filed under the name uncultured bacterium. RNAcentral's name for it is "partial 16S ribosomal RNA". It matches the Rfam family "Bacterial small subunit ribosomal RNA", at positions 28 to 507 of the family's 1533-position model. The record is from RNAcentral.